Molecule: long non-coding RNA, 658 nt
Organism: Hydra vulgaris (swiftwater hydra)
Lineage: Eukaryota; Metazoa; Cnidaria; Hydrozoa; Anthoathecata; Hydridae
Source: RefSeq, a predicted model, not a curated record
UAACGAUGGUAAGUGUUGAUUAAAUAAAGUAUUCUAGUUUAUAACUUUUUAGUUUAUGUUUAGUAGAAAUUUAUAUGCAUAUCUUUAUCAUUUGAUAGUUUAUUUUAAGUUAAAACUUUACUUUUUUUAGCAUCAGACCAGAGAUUUGCACUAAUAUUGUCAGAAUUAGCCGCUUUAAGAGCAGAAUUAAACAAAGAAAGGAACUCUAAAGAUGCAUCAAGCUUACCAACUGAUCAGGGUUCUUCAGUCAUAUCAACACUUCCGGCUCAGGAAGUAGUCAACAACCUCUCUAGUUCAACAAGUACUCCCAAUGAUGACAUCAAGGAUUCAAAUGGAUUUUCAUUUAACCAGUUCUUGCUUUGGCGUACUACGCAUCCUGGUCCGAAGACACGCAAAGCAUUUAAUGUUUGGGCCCGACAAGGUGGCAAAGACCUCCCCAACUUUCGAUGGGGAGGUAGAACUGGGAGCCGCAAGGGUCGCGGACAAGGUGGCCGAGGAGGUGGCGGUAAAGGGUCUUUUGUACUAGGGCGUUUGUAUUUUCAGCUCUAGUUUUUAUUUUAUGUGUAGUUUUAUACUUAUUUAUGUUGAUGUUGUUGCUUUAUAAUUUUAUAUAUGUAUUUUUUAUUUGAAGUAAAAAAGAACAACAUUUCUUAUUUAA